UACGUAGGAGGCAAGCGUUGUCCGGACUUACUGGGCGUAAAGAGCGUGUAGGCGGUUCGAUAAGUCGGACGUGAAAUCUCCACGCUCAACGUGGAGGGGCCGUUCGAUACUGUCGUGACUCGAGUCCGGUAGGGGAGUGUGGAAUUCCCGGUGUAGCGGUGAAAUGCGCAGAGAUCGGGAGGAACACCCGUAGCGAAGGCGGCACUCUGGGCCGGUACUGACGCUGAGGAGCGAAAGCGUGGGGAGCAAACAGG
Molecule: ribosomal RNA, 254 nt
Filed under: uncultured bacterium
Lineage: Bacteria
Description: partial 16S ribosomal RNA
Rfam family: Bacterial small subunit ribosomal RNA
Source: RNAcentral